GGGGGGGGUCUUUUUAGGGCCAUACCUGCAGCAUAUGGAGGUUCCAGGCUAGCCAGGGAAUUGGAACUGUAGCUGCCAGCCUACACCACAGCCACAGCAGUGCAGGAUCCAAGAGCAUCUGUAACCUACCACGUCUCACAGCAAUGCCAGAUCCUUAACCCACCGAGCAAGGCCAGGGAUCAAAUCCAGGUCCUCAGGGAUACUAGUCGGGUUCGUUAACCACUGAAUCAUGAUAAGAACUCCUAAAAUCUAUUUUUAAAACCAUAUACUCAAUUUAACCUUCCUCAACCUGUGGCUUGAGAUGGUAUUGAGAUGGCUUCCAUGCUGCUGGGUCUGUUUACAAUUUAUAGAAUAGUUUCUUUUAUUGAAUGUGGUUUUAAAACUUGAUCUCCUCUGGGCAAGCCCCCUCCAGCAGGGUGUGAUAGAAGGGAUCACCUCUCAGUGCAAUGCCUAAAAAUAGGUCUGCUGACUUCCCACUUCAAUCCAGGUAACAGCUGUUGAAUCCUUUGCAUUUCUGAAGUCUGUUGAGUUUUUUCCUUCUAGCUCCCUAUCUUGAAACUAACCAAGAGAUAAUUUCAUCAUUUGGCUUCUGGUCUUUUCUACACAUGUUUUCAGACAAAGCUUUAAAGAAGUUUUUGAAGGUAUAGAACUGCAUUUUAGUGGGUUUUUUUUCCCCCUUGCAUAUGUCAUUGUAGGCAGUUUGCAAUUACCACAACACAUACAUAAUAGAGUUCUCCAAAAAUGGAGUCUUCUAGAGAGCUUUAAAAAAUUGGUGGUCAGAAGUUCCCAUCAUGGCGCAGUGGUUACCGAAUCCGACUAGGAACCAUGAGGUUGUAGGUUCGAUCCCUGGCCUUGCUCAGUGGGUUAAGGAUCCAGUGUAGGUUGCAGACGUGGCUCGGAUCCUGCGUUGCUGUGUCUCUGGCAUAGGCCGGUGGCUACAUCUCUGAUUGGAUUCCUAGCCUGGGAAUCUCCAUAUGCCGCGGGAGCAGCCCUAGAAAAGGCAAAAAGACCAAAAAAAAAAAAAAAUUGGUGGUUAAAACACACAGAUACAGAGAACAAACCAGUGGUUACCAGUGGGGAGGGCAGGUACAAACUAUUAGGUGUAAGAUAGGCUCAAGGAUGUUAUUGUACAGCAUGGAGAAUAUAGUCAAUAUUUUUAACAACUGUAAAUGAAAAGUAAUCUUUAAAAAUUAUGUAAAUUUUUUUUUAACAUCAGGGCUUUGAUCUCCUUCCAGAGAUUCUGAUUUAAUUGGUCUUCAGUGAAGCUUAGGCAUUCGUAUUGCCUUUAAAAAGCCUCCCCAGAUGAUUCUAAGGAUUAAAAAAUAGUUUUUUUUUUUACAUUUUGUGGUAUGCCUAUGAAUUUGCAUUUGAUCAUACUUAUAUUUAUUCCAGAAAUUUAUAAUUCUUGAUAUUUUAUAAUUCUAUCAAACAACCCAAAACACAACUGUUACCUUAAAGGCUGUAUUUUUAUUAUGUACAUAGCAUUAAACAUUACAUCAUUGGUUUUACUCCCAUCUUACUUUGCAAAAUUCCCAAAUCACUUGUGAAAAGAUGAGCAAAACAGAGAAUAUAUGCAUUUGUUUUUUGUUCACAUGUUGGGACGUCACAGUAUUUUUUACUUUAAAAUCAUUCUCCUCUCUGCUCUUCUACUGGUAGGUAGUUCAUCCUCUUCUGAUCACUACCUGAAUAGAAACAGGAAAAGUAUUGGGGAAAGAGGAGAAUUUGGGGAGUUCCUAGCUAGGGCCAAGGGCAAGGAGACCUGCUAUUUGGGAAGUGACCCUUCUCCACAUGGUGAAAUGCUUUCGUCUCCUCCAACGCACAAAGAAUUGUUGGCUGAAGUCCAAUACACAGCUCCAGCAGUGAAGCAGACGCUGAAAUGUUUAUAAAUGUAAGCCUCGUGGGAUGCCCCCAGACUGGGACAUGAUGAAAGGGAAUGAAAAAUUGGGUUUCACAACUGAAAUAAAUUUCACACUUACACAUGCUUGCAUGUGCACACACAGACAUACAGACACACACACACACACACACACACACACACUGUUUUAAAAACAAGGCAGCUACAAAGAAGCCCACAGAUGUCAUUUAUCAGACUGUGACACAGUAACUGGGGUCACUCUUUUGUACCCACUCUCCCUGUCUUCCUUCCAAUCUUGCUGGAUAUAGGGCUCUAGCCUUUUCCACGGUUUAUCCCUUUCCCUCAUAGGCUACCAAUCCCAUCUUCUCUCAGAGACUAUUCUCUCACAGUUAUUUUCCAUCUCUCUCAUAGCAUCAAUUUCUCCUAUUUUAGAAUAAUAACAUCAGAGAAAAAACCUGCUCUAAAACAAAACAACACAAAAAACAAAUACAAGCAGCCAAAAAAAAAAAAAAAAAAUCGCCCUACCUUAACCCUGCUCCUGUCGUAUCUCUCUAUCCACCUCCUAAGCAGUUUCUUAAAGAAGCUCUAAGUACUUAUCUUCUCCUCACAUCCUUUUCUCUUCUCCACCCAUUCCAGCUGGCCAUCCUCCCUCAACCUCACCAAAAAGGCUCUUCACCAACUGCUUCCAUGUUGCCAAACUCAAUAGACCAUUCUCUGGCCUCUUUGUAUCCAACCUCUUUGCAGCACCCAACCCAGUUAACCAUCUCCUUUCUAGAAAACCACUCUUUUCGGCUCUCGUGACAAUAUAUCUCACUAGUGCUCCUUCUAGGACACUGCUUGCUGCUUUGCUGCUCUGCUUUUUCUCCUUUAAUUAAUUGAUAUUUUUGGCAAGUUUUACUGGGAUAUAAUUCACAUACCAUGUAAUCACUCAUUUCAAGCAUGUAAUUCAAUGGUUUUUGUAUAUUCAGAGUUGUGCAAGCAUCACUACAAUCAAUUUUAGAACAUUUCAUCACCUUAAAAAGAAAGCUUACAUCUUUUUGCUUUCCUUUUAACCAUGUCCUUCCCACCAGCACUAGGCAAUCACUAAUCUAUUUGCAGGAAUGGGUAUUGGAUUUGGUCAAAUUCUUUUUCUGCUUCUGAUAUAACCAUGUGAUUUUUCUUCUUUAGCCUGCUGAUGUGGUGAAUUACAUUACUUGAUUUUCAAAUAUUGAAGCAGCCUUACAUACCUGGGAUAUCCGGUUGUGGUGUAUAAUUCUUUAUUUUCAUGUUUAAAGUUUUAUUUAAGUGUAGUUGAUUUAUAAGGUUGUGAUAAUUUCUGCUGUACAACAAAGUGAAUCAGUUAUAUAAAUAUACACAUCCAUCCUCUUUCAGAUUCUUUUUCCAUAGAUUAUCACAGACUGUUGGGUAGAGUUCUCUGUGCUAUAUAGCAGGUCUUGGUUGGCUAAUCAUUCCAUAUACAUCAGUGUGCAUAGGCUAAUGCCAAACCUAUAGACCAUCUGUUCCCCCACCGAUCUGUCCCUUUGGUAACCAUAAGGUUUUUUUUUUUUAAUUUGUUUGUUUGUUUUGACAUAUGUAGGACUGGGCUUGCUAAUAUUUUAUUGAAGAAUUUUGAAUCUAUGUUCAUGAGAGAUAUUGGUCUGUUUUCUUUUCUUGCAAUAUCUUCAUAUGGUUUUGGUAUUAAGGUAAUGCUGGCCUCAUAAGGUGAGUUAGGAAGUAUACCCUCUGCUUCUA
This 3586-nucleotide long non-coding RNA is filed under the name Sus scrofa (pig). RNAcentral's name for it is "lncRNA (ENSSSCG00050020564.1)". The record is from RNAcentral. Lineage: Eukaryota; Metazoa; Chordata; Mammalia; Artiodactyla; Suidae.